RNAcentral lists this ribosomal RNA (253 nucleotides) under uncultured bacterium. Its description in RNAcentral is "partial 16S ribosomal RNA". It matches the Rfam family "Bacterial small subunit ribosomal RNA", at positions 524 to 776 of the family's 1533-position model. The record is from RNAcentral.
UACGGAGGGGGCAAGCGUUGUCCGGACUUACUGGGCGUAAAGGGUGCGUAGGUGGUGGGGUGAGUCGGCGCUGAAAGCGCCCGGCUUAACCGGGCGAGGCGUGCCGAUACGACCCGACUAGAGGACUGGAGAGGGUGGCGGAACUCCUGGUGUAGUGGUGAAAUGCGUAGAGAUCAGGAAGAACACCCGUGGCGCACGCGGCCACCUGGCCAGACCCUGACACUGAGGCACGAAGGCGUGGGGAGCGAACCGG